Uranotaenia lowii is the source of this 1084-nucleotide long non-coding RNA. RefSeq lists it as uncharacterized. The transcript has 3 exons. NCBI's taxonomy places the organism in Eukaryota, Metazoa, Arthropoda, Insecta, Diptera, Culicidae. The record is from RefSeq and is a predicted model, not a curated record.
AAUUUCAUUCAUUUUGAGAAGGGACGAUGGGGUAAUGUAACCGUCGUUACUUUUUUUUGCGUGGCUCCGCCACCUAAUCCUGACAUCCCUGCACAUUGUGGAGAACCUUACAAAAGUCGCUCAGAACGGCUAACUUCACCCAAAAUCAUCUGUCAUCCCGCACGGUCACUCUCCUUCUCUGAGUUAUCCAUAGGCGUCGUGCUCAACCAGGGACGUCACGGGGAAGUGUGGGCACCCAGAGAGCGACACACCGUGUAAAUUUGCCUCCGAAUAAAUAUGUAUGUGUGUCGGUCCACUGAAAGUAAAGUCUCGCAAAUAUUUUCAGAGCGGAACAUGUUCUUUCUGUCUGUGACCUCGUUAGAGUGCGCGUCGUGUGUAGUCAAAAGUUAAAAAGUACCAAAAGUUAUACGUAUUACGAACACUAAAAGUAGUACGGUGCGGUUAUUAAAAAUUAGUACGAUUAAGAAAUUGUUAAAAGAACAUAAACAGUGUGAACAGAACUAAACAAAAAAGCAACAAAGAAAAGGUAAAUAACUGAACAACAAAAACAGUAGAUUUGUAAACCACGUGGACUAUGUAAACUUUGUUAUGUCACUGGUACUAUAACCCUUCUUGGCAGGUCCAAGAGGGCCUUUUCUUAUUUUGUCGGCUAAUCCUCCAGGUUAAUUGUGACUACGAACACACGGCAAAUCAUAAACCAGGCAGAAAUAAAUCCGAAACAUUACUUUGUUCGCCAAUAACAAGGUUAUGUUCUGAGGACCAUCCGGUGGUAAAAGGCCCGCUACAUAACCUCGUUCGACCAAUCUGAGGUUUGUUCGAAGAACCAUCUGGUGGUGAAAGGCCCGCACCAUAACCUUGCCCGUCAAGUUUGAGGUUACCGACGAGGACCUUUCGGCAGCACCAGUCAGGGGUCACACACAGCCAGCAUCGGGCUCUUCCGGGACGCCGGAAAGACGCCUGGUGUGGACCCUAAAUUGCCGUCGGAAACCACCACACGCAUGUGGUUAACCGUUGCUGUUCACCGAGCCAGCCGCCUGUCGCCGUUCCAGCUAAGACCCGUGAAAAACUGAAACUAACCGCAAGU